Lemur catta (Ring-tailed lemur) is the source of this 208-nucleotide small nucleolar RNA. RefSeq annotates it as small nucleolar RNA U3. The transcript has a single exon. The record is from RefSeq and is a predicted model, not a curated record. NCBI's taxonomy places the organism in Eukaryota, Metazoa, Chordata, Mammalia, Primates, Lemuridae.
AAGACAAUACUUUCAGGGAUCAUUUCUAUACUUUGCCACUAGGGAAGUUUCUCUGAACACGUGGAGCACUGGAGGAGCAAGGAGGCACAGUGUUCUCUCCUGAUCCUGAAGCCAGCUCUUGGCAUUGCUGUGCUGCAAAUUGCUCCUCGCCAUUGGUGAUCCUCCGAGUGGUUUCUGUUAAAAACAAGCAAGCAAGCAAACAAACAAA